Molecule: ribosomal RNA, 121 nt
Filed under: Bos indicus x Bos taurus (hybrid cattle)
Lineage: Eukaryota; Metazoa; Chordata; Mammalia; Artiodactyla; Bovidae
Source: RNAcentral
GUCUACGGCCAUACCACCCUGAACGCGCCCGAUCUCGUCUGAUCUCGGAAGCUAAGCAGGGUCGGGCCUGGUUAGUACUUGGAUGGGAGAAGAUCAAUUUCUGGAACUUUACUCGCAGACA